This is a long non-coding RNA of Panicum virgatum (switchgrass), 1867 nucleotides long. RefSeq lists it as uncharacterized. The record is from RefSeq and is a predicted model, not a curated record. The transcript is spliced from 2 exons. Lineage: Eukaryota; Viridiplantae; Streptophyta; Magnoliopsida; Poales; Poaceae.
GGCAGGCCGCGGUCCACGGCGGCCCAACGGCCUUUCCUUUCCCCGCACCACUGCCGCUCGGGCCCGCUCGUCAGCGCCCGCGACGCCGUCUUCUUCCUCCCCGCGCCGCCCGUCCACUGCCCCCGCGCCGCCCGCUGCUUCACCGCGCCGCUCGCGUACGGCCGCCAGCCCGACGCUGCUCCUCCGAGCCGCGUCAAUCAGCAGCACAGCGCGGCCCGACCUCCCCCGUCCCUGUGCGCCACCUCGAAUCUUCCCCAUCCCCUGUGCAGCGGUGGAAUCCGCCAGCGCCGCGUUGUCUUCCUCCCGCGCCGCCCGGGCCAAGGACGUGCGCUGGACGAGCGCAUUCAAGGCCGGGAAAGCUCCAGCGCGUGCACGCGGUGCACGCCGUCCAUCCUCGCGCCACUGCUCCCUCGCUCUUUCUCUCUCUGUCGGUGUGAGCCGCGUUAACACUCGUUUCACGCUCUCACCUCUGCCUCAUUCCGUGAAGCACACCUCUUCCAUGGCGCCUCCACUGCUCCUCUCUCUUUUCCACAGCAAGCCAGCGGCGGCAGGCAGCCAUCUCCCCUCCUCUGUGCUUUCUCCCGUGGCGAGCAGCAGCCCAACGCCACCCUCUCCCUCUGUUCCUUUCCCACGUCAAGCAGCUGCAAUCUCACCUCCCUCUCUGUUUCUUCUUCCCCACUGAGCCACCCACGGCAAGUAGCAGCAGCAACCCCUCAUCCCCUCUGCUCCUCCACCACACCACCGAGCAAGCACGAGCUGCAAUCCCAGCACCAGUAGCUCUCUCCAAUCGAUUCCCCUCCUCUGAUUUCUCUAAUCCGAGCAAACAAGGAGCUAGCCCCAGCGCCUUCUUUUUUUCCACCGCAAGCAAACAGCACCCAGCAGCGCCUUCUCCCUCCACCCAGCAGCGCCUUCUCCCUCCUCUUUGUUUUUCUUCUCCACGCAAGAAGCAAGUAGAGCAGCCGGCCGCCGCUGCUCCCUUGAACGAGUUCCGCCCACUCUAGCACUGCUCCCUUGUCCAAUCAGCAAGCAAGCAAGCUGCAGCCAAUGGGAGGAGGAGGAGGGCAGCACUACACCGCCGACCGCGAGCCGAAGGAGCAACCGGGCCGGAAGCUGCGACGCCACUGCAUCGACGACCACGCCGAGCCGGAGCAGCCACGAGGAGGAGUUGAACGUGGAGGAGCCACCGCGGGGAGCUGCGCUGCACGGUGACUCCGCAAACCCAAGGCCGUUGCUGUCAAGCCGUAACGCCCCUGCCGAGCACCACGAGCUCACCACGGCCGCAACGUCUUCCUGCUCCGCCUCUCCACGACGUCGUCCAGCCGCCGGACCAUCGCUGCCCUCGGACAGCAGCUCCGGCCAUCCUCCGCCCGCUUUGGCCGCCCUGCAAGCUUCCCCACGUCACGACAACGAGACGUUCAUAACUGCGCCAGACGCCGAGCUAAUACUUGAGAAUAUGAAUAAUCGGCAACAAGGCAAGCACCUCCUUGAUCAUAUUUACCCCUAUAUGAAUUCCUAAGCCUACAAUUAUAUGCAUGCGAUGAUGAUUUUAUGUGUCCAAAUGUCAUUUUAUGUCGGGUAGACACGUCCUACUUUAAUGCAUUUAUCUUCCUUAUUAUUUUGUAUCCCUUUUAUGCCUUGUUAUUCUAAGGCUAUGGAUUAUUCGCGUAGUUCAGAGUCACAUGCUUAGUUGGCUUAGUGUUUGCGCAGUAGUUAAGUAGCAUCACAUGGGCUGGUUUCUUUUAAAGAAAAAUAUACAUUUAUAUGGUUGUUUUUUUAAGAAUAAAAACUCUAUGGUAGAUGCGGGUGAAUAUAUGGUCUAGCGGUUAUGAUGGUAUGAGGAUGAAGAAAAAGAAUAUGGAUGAUAAAA